AACGAACGCUGGCGGCGCGCCUAAUACAUGCAAGUCGAGCGUAGAAGACGUAGCAAUACGUUUGUAAAGCGGCGAACGGGUGAGGAAUGCAUGGGUAACCUACCCUCGAGUGGGGAAUAACUAGCCGAAAGGUUAGCUAAUACCGCGUACGCUCCUUGGACUUCGGUUCAGGGAGGAAAGCCGAUACCGUGGGUAUCGCGCUCUUGGAUGGGCUCAUGUCCUAUCAGCUUGUUGGUGAGGUAACGGCUCACCAAGGCUUCGACGGGUAGCUGGUCUGAGAGGACGAUCAGCCACACUGGCACUGCGACACGGGCCAGACUCCUACGGGAGGCAGCAGUAAGGAAUAUUGCGCAAUGGGCGAAAGCCUGACGCAGCGACG
Molecule: ribosomal RNA, 379 nt
Filed under: uncultured bacterium
Lineage: Bacteria
Description: bacterial SSU rRNA
Rfam family: Bacterial small subunit ribosomal RNA
Source: RNAcentral